UGAAUAAAUAUGAUAUGCCGAUCUUCUG
Molecule: small RNA, 28 nt
Filed under: Bombyx mori (domestic silkworm)
Lineage: Eukaryota; Metazoa; Arthropoda; Insecta; Lepidoptera; Bombycidae
Description: ovarian small RNA-31046
Source: RNAcentral